AUGGAUGUUGACCUCACCAUGGAUGUGGUGGCCCUUACUAGUGCAUAUCAGAUGUGGGAGCACCUUCGCCAUCGCUAUGAGUCUACAGGGGAUGCCAUGUAUCUCUCUGUUGUUCGUCAAGAGCAACAACUACAGCGGGGAGAUGCUACUGUGGAUGAUUUCUACAAGGAGAUGUCGGUGGUGUGGCGCCAAUUGGACUCUUUGGGAGCUGAUGUUUGUCGCAGAUGUCAGUGUUGUGUGCGGCAACAAGCUAAGCUGGAGGUUCGUCGCCUCUACGACUUCCUCACUCGCCUCCGGCCAGAGUUCGAGCAGAGUCGUGCUCAGCUAUUGGCACACCAUCCUCGGCUCUCUACUCUGGAGGCCCAUGCUGAGGUUCAAUCUGAGGAGGUGCGUCUAUGGAGCACGGGCUUAUUGCCAUCUUCUUCAGCAGUCCUGGCUGCCCGCGUUCCACCACCGCUGUCUGGUGUGCCCUCUUCUACAUAG
RNAcentral lists this ribosomal RNA (483 nucleotides) under Triticum aestivum (bread wheat). RNAcentral's name for it is "partial small subunit ribosomal RNA". Lineage: Eukaryota; Viridiplantae; Streptophyta; Magnoliopsida; Poales; Poaceae. The record is from RNAcentral.